AGGUAAUACUCCAUGGGAGCCCUCACAGUCCGUGUGGCUUCACACAGCAGUGUGGAGCCUCCAAAGAGUGGCCCUUGGCCUUUUGAGGAGUGUUUGGCCUUAAACGUGGAGUUUUAAACUAAGGCACACCACACAUGGACCCCUCAGGCUCAAUAGAUAAUUUGAUAAGCCAAUGACGUUUUUUCAUAUUUCAGAAUACAGUUAACCAACAUGUUAACUGAUCGAUUAUGAUAAAUUAGAUCAAAUUUUGCUGGUUUUUUCUGCAGUACUUCGACGUGACAUGAGUGUGAAAGGGGUUCAAGAAGCCAUUUUCUUUUUAUAAGGUCUAAAAUCACUUAUUUUGGUUAUUUUAACCCAUAUUGUAAGGUGGAUCUCAAAAGAUAUGAAUGAUCUCCCUUUAAACCAUACAAACGAUUAGCAUCGACUAACUCUAUGCUAGCAGCCGCAGUAAUAUAGAGGAUGCAAGUGUUAUCCAGAAUGAUUGGGCAUAAAAGCAUCUGUAGGUGGCUUUUUAAGUCAACCUUCAAAUCCCCGGGCUCAACCCUGGAAAGGGGGUGGAAACUACCAAGAUGGAGUAUGGUGAGGGCAGAGGGAAUUUUCAGUGGAGUGGUGAAAUGCAUAAAGAUCGGAAAGAACACCAACGGCGAAAGCACUCUGCUGGGCCGACACUGACAAUGAGAGAUGAAAGCUAGGGGAGUGAAUAGGAUUAGAGACCCCAAUAGUCCUAGCCAUAAAUGAUAGGUGCUAUGCAUAUCGACCUAUGCAGUGAUGUAACUAACGCGUUAAGUAUCCCACAUGGGGAGUACGUUCGCAAGAAUGAAACUCAAAGGAAUUGACGGGGCCCCGCACAAGCGAUGGAGCAUGUGGUUUAAUUCGAUACAAAGUGAAGAACCUUACCAGGGCUUGACAUGCCGCGAUUCCUCUUGAAAGAGAGGGGUGCCUUCGGGAAUGCAGACACAAGUGAUGCAUGGUUGUAGUCUGGUCAUGCCGUAAGGUGUUGGGUAAAGUCUCGUAAUGAGCACAACUCUCGUGUUUAGUUGUCAUCGUCGAGUUUGGAACCCUGAACAGACUGCCAGUGAUAAGCCGGAGGAAGGUGAGGAUGACGUCAAGUCAUCAUACCCCUUAUGCCCUGGGCGAUACACGUGUUACAAUGGUCGGGACAAAGUAUCGCAAUCCCGCAAGGGUGAGCUAACACCAAAAACCCAUCCUCAGUUCAGAUUGCAGGCUGCAACUUGCCUGUAUGAAGGCAGAAUCGCUAGUAAUCGUCGGUCAGCCAUACGGUGGUGAAUUCAUUCCCGGGCCUUGUACACACCACCCGUCACACUAUGGGAGCUGGCCAUGCCCGAAGUCGAUACCUUAACCGCAAGGAGGGGGAUGCCGAAGGCAGGGCUAGUGACUGGAGUGAAGUCGUAACAAGGUAGCAAAGUCAUUAUCUUAACCGC
Molecule: ribosomal RNA, 1442 nt
Filed under: Solanum virginianum
Lineage: Eukaryota; Viridiplantae; Streptophyta; Magnoliopsida; Solanales; Solanaceae
Description: bacterial SSU rRNA
Rfam family: Bacterial small subunit ribosomal RNA (bases 275-1437)
Source: RNAcentral